UUGCCGGAACCUUCGGUAAAACCGCGACGGAGUGAAAUAAGAGCUGCACGUCACGCGUCGCGUCGCGGUGGUGUUCCGCUGUAAUCAGUUUUAACGCUGUUGUGUCACUCACGCGGAGACGCUCUGCAAAACCUCUAGGCACCUGUUUCCGUCACGAGCGCCAUGUCUUGCGCCGCUGACUGUGACGCUCAGUUCGCGUCGCGUUUCUCCAGCGGUACCGGACGCGCCGCCCGUGCUCGAGGACUGGAGAGCGCGCAGAGACCGGCGAGCUCCGGAGCACCGGCAGCACGAGCAUCGCUUCCCUGAGCGCCGCCAGGACCGGAACUCCGGCGCUUACAGCCAGCGAUCACGAUUCUGACACAGAACCAGACCUCCAGCGAUGCCUGCCGGAUCACUUCUGAUCUAGUGGAGUUACACUGGCUUCUGUGUAAAUAAAGCAGUUCAAAUGA
Sinocyclocheilus rhinocerous is the source of this 449-nucleotide long non-coding RNA. RefSeq lists it as uncharacterized. The transcript has 2 exons. The record is from RefSeq and is a predicted model, not a curated record. NCBI's taxonomy places the organism in Eukaryota, Metazoa, Chordata, Actinopteri, Cypriniformes, Cyprinidae.